RNAcentral lists this transfer RNA (73 nucleotides) under Richelia sp. RM2_1_2. Its description in RNAcentral is "tRNA-Leu". It matches the Rfam family "tRNA". From Rfam's summary of the family: Transfer RNA (tRNA) molecules are approximately 80 nucleotides in length. Their secondary structure includes four short double-helical elements and three loops (D, anti-codon, and T loops). Lineage: Bacteria; Bacillati; Cyanobacteriota; Cyanophyceae; Nostocales; Nostocaceae. The record is from RNAcentral.
CCGAGGAUGGUGGAAAGGUAGACACGUUGGUCUUAGAAACCAAAAUUUGAAGGUUCAAGUCCUUUUCCUCGGA